Long non-coding RNA from Dendronephthya gigantea, 861 nucleotides. RefSeq lists it as uncharacterized. Lineage: Eukaryota; Metazoa; Cnidaria; Anthozoa; Malacalcyonacea; Nephtheidae. The transcript has 2 exons. The record is from RefSeq and is a predicted model, not a curated record.
UCAAAAAUUUUGUUAAGAGGCGUCUCAAAGGAAGACAUAUUCCAGCUAGCUUGACGGGUCAGAAACGAAAUAAAACAGUGAAUGGGCUGAGAAAAUAGAUUGUUAACAGAUGUCUGAUUCAGGAGAUGAUGGCGGAACAGAAUGGUAUGAGGAACCAAUCACAAUAGUGGGAUUUGUUGCAGGAUUCUUACUUCUUGUGUUAGUCAUUGCGAGUAUUUUAAUACUUUGCUACUCAAAGGAUAAGGAGGAAGAUGAGGAGGAUACUGAUGGACAGACAUCUACAUCUAGGGACAAUCAUGGCCUAGACAGAACAAGUGAUGAUCAUGAUAAGACGAAUCCAUUAUAUAUUUCUGCCAAUGAAUUUGAUCUUCGGCCAUAUCCACGUCCACUUCGUGCAAAGUUCGUUCACAUACACGUCGACGAAUCUCGCCAUAACAGAGAAGGGUUUGAAUCGUAUUACAACACUGAUCAAUACACGAGUAAUGCAUAAUAUAACUAUUAAAAUGAUAAAUUAAAGAUGUACUAGACACCUCACUAAUUUACCUGAGUAUACAUGAAACAAUAGUCUGAAAACGAGGCUGGCAAUAUAUUCUAUUGUUUGCUGGUUUGGUAGUUUUGAUUGCCAGAGAGAAAAUUUGGGAAGUGUUUCAGUACUUAUAUAUACAUAUAACACCUGUUCGUUAUAUAUCACCGUUCAGAGGAGGAACUCAAUUAUUCGCAGUUAAAAUGAUCGUAAAUACUAGUUCCAAUUAUUGUGCUAUAGAAGACGCACAUUGGAUGACAUUUAAAUUAUUUGACACGUUGCCAAUGAUAUCAGAACAUAUUAAGUGUAUAAGAUCAUUGCAAGUAAAUCGUAACUAU